Homo sapiens (human) is the source of this 6217-nucleotide long non-coding RNA. RefSeq lists it as uncharacterized. Lineage: Eukaryota; Metazoa; Chordata; Mammalia; Primates; Hominidae. The transcript has 2 exons. The record is from RefSeq and is a predicted model, not a curated record.
AAGAUGCCAUUCUCAUCUGGAAAGCGAAUGCUCUCGGCCGAGGCCGUUUGCGUGGCAGCGCGUGGAGGUCUGCGGGGGUCCCAUCCUCAAGCGACAUUCUGGGUCCCACGCAGAAAAAGUCAGGCCACUGAAGGGGCCGCUGUGAGGACAGGGGUGAGGAGAAGGGGGCUAACUUUUCGGCCUGCCUUUCUCGACGUUCCUAAUACCCGAGCUUCCGUUUAACAUAUGUGUGGCUCUUCAGCUCAGCCAAGUUCAUUUUUCUGUAUGCAGCUGAAAAUGAUUCUAGAAGCAAAACUCGCUGUCCGUGUCUGAAACGGGAAACUUGCUUUCUGGAGCAAAAGUCUUUUUCUCAGUAGAGCAAAUCCUGCAACUCGUGUGGGCAGAAACCCAGUCCUCAGAGGUACAGGUAGAAACGUGGAGAUCCCAGCAGACCCCUGCAUCGUUCCUAACUGGGAAAUGAGCAGAGUCUGUGGCCGCACACAGUCGGGGAGGCUUGGGUAACUGUGUUCUCUUCUCCAUGUAUGGCCUAGAGCACCUCAUCCACUCGGAUGACUUCAUUCGUUGCUGCUACAGAAAUGUCAGCCUUUUCAAUGUAAUCUAUCUGAACAAUUCACUGGCAUUUCAGAUGGGAAAUGUUUUUUUAAAAACUGAUUUUUUGAAACUUCAUCUCCUAUCCCAAACUCUCAGGCCUCUCUCUUAACCUUCCAAUUUUAAUCAAUGGCAUUUCCAUUCUCCUAGCAGACCACCCACCGUGAUCAUCUGGCUUUGUUCUUACGGAAGCCAGGUUGAAGCUACCCAGUACCCAAGUAGCCCCAUCCAAUGGGAAAUUCCAAAUCAAGGCCUCCAAAGAGAUAAGUCCUGGAAUACAGGAGUCAAAAUGGGCCCCGAAACAGACAAUUCACAAUUAAAUUCCCCAGAAGAGCAGGAAGUUUGCCCUCGAGGUGCAGGCUUGUAGAGAUUACUCAAAUGGACUAAACUGUACAAAAGGCAGCCAUGGACAAGUUACAGGUCCAUUGUAUCAGUAUCCGUCCUUGACUCUGUAUCCAAAGCAGAGUCUUCUAUGUGGGCAGGGUAAAAAGAGGCUUCCCCAGAAUCAAACAGUCCUGAUCACAAUAUCUCCCUGCCCUCAGAUUUGCUAAUCAGAAAACCACCCCUACACAGUUGCAAAGACACCUCCCCCAAGGCCUUCGCCAGCCCUGAGGGCACCUCCACAGUGAAACAUGUCCUUUUGGCUUUCCAGCUUGAUUCCCAAAAGCCAGUCAAACCAGGGUGGAAGCCUCCACUGUGUUCUACAUCCCGUGCAGUGAGUGGAGCUUUGUGAAGUUGCCUUAGAUUGCUAAGGGCAGAACUGUGCCCAGACAGAAAUAGGCAAACCGAAUUUCUCUUGUGUUCCCUUACUCUUUUUCAUGACUGCUCUCAUUCUGCUCUCUUCUCCACUAGCCCGGGUGUCUGGGACGCUUGCGUCGUUUCUAGGCUCUCCCAAAAGAGUCUCGUAUCCAGCCCUUCCCUCCCUGAGAAUCGCCCCAGUCUAUUUGUCCUUCUCCCCUCCCCUAGUUCUGUUAAAAAUGACCUCAUUUGUGUCUCAUUCUGAUCAGGUCUUGGGCUCUUCUUUACAAAGUGGCAAUCCUAGUCUGUCAACUGACUCGUGUUCAUGGGUUUAUACCCUCUUCCCAGCCAGGUCACCCCUGAGCUUAAACAUGGCCUCAUGAAAACCAGGUCCCCAUGAUCACCCUAAGGUAACCUACAAAGCUCUAGCCCUGGAAGGCAGGAAGAUGACUGCUGGGAGACAUAUUUUAAGAGUGACACGUCAGAGGCAGCUCUCGACUUUUUAAAAAAGUGCCAUGUUCUCUAUUGUUACACUCUAUGAUUACUGUACUAAGGGCCCAUCCUGACUUCUCUGGAAUUUUCUGCAAAUAUGUAGUUCUGGUGUAACUUCAGCAGGGGUAAAAAUUCAAUGGUACAUAACUGACAAUUUAUCAAAUUAAGAAAUAGAACAUGCAAGUUUUUCUUAUAAGAAUUUUGUAACGUAAAUGGUCAUUGUGCUAAUUCAGACCUCAACUUCUCUGCUGCUAUAAAGUCUCCAACAGAAAAAGCCAGUAAUGGUCAUAAAACUGAUCAUGUUUUUUGAUUCAGGAAAUCCUUUUUUGAACAAUAACAUACAAAGACGAAAAGUAAACAAAGCUGCCUGUUUGAAUAUAAACACAUAUGCAGACAAAAAAAACAAAUAAAUGGGUUAGAGAAACAACAACAAAAAAAUUACAUCCAUGGAGGUAAAGGGAGGAUUGUUGCGUUAAUUGUAACUCAAACCUCUUAACACUUGAGGAAUGAUUAAGCAAGCUAGGGUGUCGUUACUGGGUAUAUUUGAUGGUGUACAAUAGUAUAUGUUACUUAGAUAUUAAAUGAAAUGUGUAUACUAUGUAGAUUUAUAGAGACGUUUAUAGUAAAUAAGGUUCUGUGAAAAUAAUAUGACUCAAAAUGUUAAAUAGGAUAAGCAAUAUAAAUGUGUCACAACGCCCUGGAGUGCAGGCUGAUCCCUGGAGACCAGUACUGAGUCAUCUGGUCUGCUCAAGGGCCAAUUAAGGAAAGAUAAAAAUGUUUACAAACCUUGUUUUUCAUAAUUUAUCUUUUUUAUGGAACUAUAGUGUCUGCAAUAUCAGUUAAACAGCCUUUUAGUAUUUCUCAUUUAUGUAACAACUCCUUCCUUCCUUCUUUCCUUCCUUCUUUCCUUCUCUUUCUGAAACUUUCUAAAUAGCAUGUGCUACCUAACCUUAUUUGUAACCCACGCCCUUUAAACAAAUUUUGAGGAGAUGAAUCCUGGACAUACCAGGGUAGGAAAGGGAUUUGAGGGAUUUAGAAAAACAGAGGUGAGUGGACCCCACAAUUCACCCACAGACUUGAAAAAGGAGACAAUAGCUGGAGGGGGGAGGCUGGAAACUGAAGGAGCCUGUCUGUGGGAAAGGGAGCGUCCCUGAGAACCCCAAGGAAGGUGGCUGCUCGGUGGAGGGGCUAUUAGGUAAGCGGAUAGAAACUGCACAGCCUCCUUUGCAAUUCCAGAUGUCUUCAUGUGGAAAGUGUGGUGACAUCUUAGAUGGGAGAUGGGGAGGGUGGGGGCUCGCCUCCUCAUCGUCUCCAUCGCCUCAAAUGGGAGUGCUCAGAAGUGUUCCAGAACAAGUAGACAGCUCUCACUGAAGACAGGGAAGGCUCUGUUGGGAUCUCACAAAGGAUUGGUGUCAGGUGAUAAUGUUUAAAUUUUCCAGAUUCCUGAGAGCCAGCACUGGGCAGCUUAAGCCAUCCUCAGCAUCCAACUGGCCUCUUUACUGACACUCCUGCCUAGCAACCUCCACUGUCCCUUGGAUCUCUGGCUGAGCUUAAAGUGUUGGGUUAAAAGAAAAUAAGCAAUAAGAUAUAUAUUAACACCUCCCAUGGAAGGUAAACGGAUUGAUUCAGCUGUGACCACCUCCCGAAAGCCCUAAGUAACAUGUAAUUCAGUCAGUCCUGUUCAUUUUCAUUGCUUACUUGUAAAACUGAGAAAUUAAACUACAAUGAUGCAGAUCAAAGUCACCACAACCCCAGUUUCGUUUCAUAGACUGUCUUGGGUUAUUUCUUCUGGCGAGUCAGAAGUUUUCCUGCAAUUGCUCAGAGUAAUACACGGAGUUUAGGAUUUCUUUUUCUUAAAAGGAGUUGUGUUUCACUUUUUUGUACCUUGAUAUUAUUUGCUCUCAAACUAAAAAUUGGUUUAAUUUUAGAUGUUGGCAACGAUUCUCAUAUCACAGGGAUUUCUAUGUUUAGCUGUUUACCCACCCAUUCGGCAAAUAGCAGACACUGACUGUGCUAGACACUGGAAGAAUGACCAAUGGCGGAAGAAGACCCACGUUGACGUCGAGCUAUAAAGGAAAGAGACAAACAUAUAAACAGGAGACUAUUGUAUGAUGUGAAAUGUCUGAGGCUUGGUGUAGUUGCUUCAUUUUUGUAGAUCUUCUUAUUCAAGAAAUGGGUAUAAAUUCCAGAGAUGCCAAACCUUGAAUUCAACUGAAAUCAACCCCCAAGUAAAGGAGAAGAUGAUCAGGAUGGUUGGAGUUUGAACCUAGUCAACUGGUAGGCUGGCCUUCUCUGCCUCUCCUGUCUCCACUGCAGGACCUGACCAGGACACCACUCCUGAAAUUUACCUACCACAGUUGUAGUCACAUGCAAACGAAGAGGCUGGAUCUGGGUAUCUCCUGCAGUGCAUGUGGACUGUGCAGAGAGAAGGAGUCCCCUGGAGUGGGACACUUAGAGCAGAGGGCACCCAGAACCAGGAACCAUGAGAGAGGAGUCUCAAAAUAGGACACAAAGGGAGUGCUUCACCACGUCACAGUGCACAUUGCAGCUAAGCCUCCGGCUCUGCUGGGGUCAGGCCAACAUGGAAAGAACCCAGGGACACCCACUCUUCCUGGGCACAGCUGAGAAGAGAUUAGGAGCCAGAGAAAGGCCUCCAGGAAACCCAGGGCAGACCAGUAAGAAUCCAGAAGCCCAGUCCAAACCGAGGCAGAAAGAGGACUGAUGUGUCUAACACCUGGCCUUCGCUACCUCCGAAGAGAGACAGACCAAGAACAAACGAACCAAGAAGGUGAAAUGGUUAAAUGUGGCGCCUAAGCCUUUCUUUUCCAGGAACUGACAUAACUUCUGUCUGUCUGCCUACACGGAGUUGUGGUUAGGAACACAUUUCUGGGGGAUUGGUUUGGUUUCAAUGUUUUCCAGCAUCUGGUAAAAACAGAAUUAUGAAAGUUAAGUAUUCAAAGAUUGUUGUUUGGGUUUUGAAACAGAAACAUUUUGAAAUACUGAUAUGUUUUGCUUUCAUAGUAUUAUUUUACUUAAAGAGAUACGCUUGAAGUAAAACCAAAUUCUCAGCUACUAACAGAAACACUUUAGUCUUCCUUGUUGCCCAAAAGCCAGUUUGAGAUUCGGCAAUUUUAGGAGAGAAGGAGGGAGAGAGAGAGGAAGGACACACCACAGAUAAAAAGGAAGUUUGAGACAGUUGUGCCUGUUCUUAUUGAAUGUUUUAGGUGAUUCCUAUAUCCCUUUUCUUCCUUCAGCUGGGGCGAUCUUUCCAGAAAAUGCAGCCCACCAGGAAAGGUUAGAAUUUAUCCAGAGCAGCUAUUUGCACUUGGUUUUUGACAUCUUGAAGUAAUGUGUUUGUCUGAGUGCUUUUCUUAUUUAUACAUAAAUAAUCUUACUAUCUAUGUUUUAUGCUUUCUUACUAGCAUGUAGAUCUAAUGUAGUUCCAUUUACUGGAUUCUGAGAGAAAUAUAGACAUUGAAAGGGGGACUCUAGACUCCUUCCUCUGGCCAAAAUGCAGUAACAGGGGCCAGAUUUGUGUUCUUGCCUGAAACAGUAACAACAACAAAAGAUGAGACUUAAAAAAAAAGUUUCAAAACAUGGAUUUAGGCAACGAAGGACAAUGAGUGAUCCCUAAGCUACUGCCCCAUCUUGUGGCCUUGAGACAGUUUCCAGGCUGUGGUGCAGAGUGGAGAACAGAGGCAAAGCCUGGUAGAUCCCUGACUUGAGGAGACAGAGGUGAGAGUCAGGAGAUCAAGGCAGCUAGAGUUCAUGGGAAUCAGCACCAGAGAAGAGAGAGCUCCAUAAAGAGAGGACUUGGGAGAUCUGCAGAGGAUCCUUGAAUAUUCAUCAGAGGACCUACUGACCAGCACAUUCAUGCGCAGGCGUCAUCAGAGACAAGGGAGAGAGCCACUUGAAAGGAUUGGAGGUUUACAGUGCUCACUCAGAGCAAGGAAUCGUGCUUAUUCCCACCAGCCAGACCAGAAAACCUCAUAGUUCAUUGACAUUAGUAGUGUUAAACUAAGUUAAGCCUAAAGCUACCUCCUUACAUAUUUUAAGUUCAGGCUAAAUGUUUUUCCAUACACAGAGAACUGUAGCCUAACUGGACAUGUGACCAGAUUGUAAGGCACUCCUGUAACAAGUAGUCAAGCCUCAGCCAAUUAUAGCAGCCGAAUUUUGGCCACUCAAAGGCAGCCAACUGUUGAAACCAUGUUUAACUAAGUGCCAAACUGUCGCCAGCCAGCUGUUUCUGUGCUUCACCUCCAUUUUCUGUAAGUCACUGCCCUUUUACUGUCCAUAAAUGUUAUCCGGCCACAUGGUGGCCCUGGAGUUGCGCUGCUGGUUCUGGGGGAUGCCCAAUUCAUGAAUCAUUCUUUGCUCAAUUAAACUCUGCUCAAUUUAA